Molecule: long non-coding RNA, 1564 nt
Filed under: Lytechinus variegatus (green sea urchin)
Lineage: Eukaryota; Metazoa; Echinodermata; Echinoidea; Temnopleuroida; Toxopneustidae
Description: uncharacterized LOC121411630
Source: RNAcentral
UGUCUAAAUGGGCACGUGUGGUGCCGAAAUUCUACAGGGUGCUGGAUGUGGAAACGUAAAUUUUGCAUAUUUUUCUUAAUUUUUGAGGAAUGCAAAGUUCAUAUAGCAGAGAUUGAAUAACUUUUUCAUUCCUUCCAGACCAUUUGGGCCAUUUAUCAACUUUUGUGUCCAGGAUCUCUGAAAAAAUGAAGUGGAAAUAUAAGUCUACAACACUACAAUAUAUUAAAAUGUGCUUUUAUAUGACAGAUUGGUAAAAAUUUUAAUUUCAAUGAAAAUAUUUUUUUCUUUUGGUUGAUCAGGUAGAGAAUAUAUCAAAGAUGCUUAUAAAAACACUUUUUCCUCUUCUCAGGCGAUUUUAUAUUUUUAAAAGUGAAUUUCUGGACCAAGAGUCAAGUAUCCUCAUUUUUGGGGAAAAUGUGAAAAUGGGCAUGUGUGGUGCAAAACUGAUUUUUAAAACACUUCUACAGGAAAAUUCUAGGGAUCAGGCAAAGGUUCAGGGUCAUAAUUAUGUUAUUUUUAUCAUAUAUUUUCAAAUUCUGAUGGUGAUUUAUAUACUUUUUGUGGAUAUAUUGAGAAAAUCAACUUUUCAUUUUUCUGAUCUCUGAAAAUUUAUACCCCGCUUUGUACACAAUUAUAUAUAGGAAGCAUUGAAUGCAUGCUAUUUUUUAAAUCGAUCUAACACAAAACUUACUUAUUCAAAAAGUAUUGUCUUUAUUUCAAAAAAUAGAAAAAGAUUCUUAGUUUCCAUUCCUUUGCAAUUCCAUAAUGCAAAAAGUGGAUAAAAUGGUGAAAUUCUACUACCGAAAACAUAUAUAUUUGCCUAUAUUUCUUUUAUUUACUUUAUGUUAGAGCGCCCUCUACUGACCACAAUCCACAAACUAACUAUACAACAACUAUUACGAAACGGUAAACAAAUUUGGUGCAUCGGGGUUUUUUUUUGGCUCAAAGUUAUACUCCUCGUUUACUUGGCACGAUUACCGUUUGUUUUUAUUGAUUAUGGUUUUAUACAUACGCAUUCUGAGAUGUUCGAACUUGCCUUUGAAGAAUUUUCAGUUCGAACUGUGCUGUGAUCAGGUGAUCGGAUAUUUAACGUACCGAUAAUUGAGACGGAAAUAGCAUGAGAAGGCAGCCGAAGCUCCGGGCAUGAUCGAGUAAGUGGACGAUCGUUGUUCAUGGCUGCGAGUGUCACUGUCAGAUUUGAUUGAAUCGUGGUCAUGGUGGUUGAUUAUUCCAGCACGAUUUCGUCUAAUAUGUGAUCGUCUGUGCUGAGUGAUGUUGGUGCAUACAGUGGUAAUGAAAAGAAAAUUGGCAACCAGUCAUCUACAAGACGCUGCAUUCAUAUACACUGUAAGGAAAGGAACAAGAAAAUGGAGGUUGUUUGUCACCUUAAUUGAAGUGCAGUCGACAUAUAGCCGAGUUUACAGUUGACAGUUUAUAUCUUAUGGGUAGAGAAUUUGAACUAAUAAGGAAAGUCCCUGCAGGAAACAAAUCAGGUAUGAUGGCCGUGAUGAGAUAGUGCUGAAAUCUGCGACUAUUUCAAGCAGUCUUGCCUGUCCAGCAUUUA